AUGGAGGGCAGGGCCCCGGGGGCUCUAACCAGGUGGUCCCCCAGCACUGACCCCCAGCUGUGUCUGGAGCGACAGCUGCAGAGGCAGACCCCGGGAGGCACAGAGCCACGCCCGGCCGUGGGUCUUCACACCCUCUGGGAGCACAGGGUCUCUGGGCUCAGCGGUGCCCAGGCCUGCACAGCGGCCUCCGUCACGGCCCCCACCGUCUACCCUCUGGGUUCCAGCUGUGCGGGCACGUCCGGCUCCGCGGUGACCGUGGGCUGCCUGGUCUCCAACUACGUCCCGGAGCCCGUGACCGUGACCUGGAACUCGGGUGCCCUGUCCAGCGGCGUGCACACCUUCCCGUCCGUCCGGCACUCCUCGGGGCUCUACUCCCUCAGCAGCACUGUGACCGUGCCCGCCGGCACCUCGGCCGACAAGACCUUCACCUGCAAUGUAGCCCACCCUGCCAGCAGCACCAAGGUGGACCAGAAAGUCGUGAUUGGCAACGGAUGCCCUAAGUGUCCCAGCUGUCCCAGCUGUCCCAGCUGUCCCAGCUGUCCCAAAUGCCCAGCCUGUGAGACCCUGGGAGGACCAUCCGUCUUCAUCUUCCCCCCGAAACCCAAAGACACCCUCACAAUCUCCCGAACGCCUGAGGCCACAUGCUUGGUGGUGGACGUGAGCCAGGAGGACCCCGAUGUUGAAUUCUCCUGGUACGUGGGUGAGGUGGAGGUGCACACGGCCAAGAUGCAGCCAAGGGAGGAGCAGUUCAACAGCACCUACCGUGUGGUCAGCGCCCUGCCCAUCCAGCACCAGGACUGGCUUCAGGGAAAGGAGUUCAAGUGCAAGGUCAACAACAAAGCCCUCCCGGUCCCCAUCGUGAGGACCAUCUCCAAGGCCAAAGGGCAGCCCCGGGAGCCACAGGUGUACGUUCUGGCCUCACCCAGGGAAGAGCUGGCCGAGAGCACAGUCAGCUUAACCUGCAUGGUCACCGGCUUCUAUCCGAGUGACAUCAACGUGGAGUGGCAGAGGAAAGGACAGCCUGUGUCAGAGGACAAUUACGGCACGACCCCACCCCAGCUGGACACCGACGGCUCCUUCUUCCUGUACAGCAGGCUCAGGGUGGACAGGAGCAGCUGGCAGCAGGGAGACACCUACACGUGUGUCGUGAUGCACGAGGGUCUACACAAUCACCUCACACAGAAGGCGAUCUCCAAGUCUCCGGAACUGCUCCUGGAGGAGGAGAGCUGUGCCGACGCCCAGGACGGGGAGCUGGACGGGCUGUGGACCACCAUCUCCAUCUUCAUCACACUCUUCCUGCUCAGCGUGUGCUACAGCGCCACCGUGACCCUCUUCAAGGUGAAGUGGAUCUUCUGGUCGGUGGUGGGGCUGAAGCACACGGUCAUCCCCGACUACAGAAACGUGAUCGGGCAGGGAACCUAG
Non-coding RNA from Hippopotamus amphibius kiboko, 1422 nucleotides. The record is from the annotation of a RefSeq genome assembly. NCBI's taxonomy places the organism in Eukaryota, Metazoa, Chordata, Mammalia, Artiodactyla, Hippopotamidae.